Long non-coding RNA from Ornithodoros turicata, 1550 nucleotides. RefSeq lists it as uncharacterized. NCBI's taxonomy places the organism in Eukaryota, Metazoa, Arthropoda, Arachnida, Ixodida, Argasidae. The record is from RefSeq and is a predicted model, not a curated record. The transcript has 2 exons.
UAGGGAGUGAAUUUUUCGGGUUAAAUGCCUUUCUCAGAUUCAGGGGGUAAAAAUCGGGCGCUAUUUUUAAAACUGUAAUUCGGGGAGAAAUCGGGCGAUAAUUGUGCCUUCGGGGGUUAUCGGGUGUUUUUGUUUCUCCUCUUGUCUAUUAAGUCCAUUCGUAAUCUCUCUCUCUCUCUGGCUUCUUUCUUUUUUUUUUUUUUUGUGGGCUUGUGACCUUCAGCGGUAAUCCCCGAAGGCAUAGACAGUGUUUACAUACAUACGUGUAUUGCUGGGAACGUAAGUGACCCAUUCUUACAUGCGUUACACGUGGCGACCUUUGUUCGUCUUCAGUGGAAACGUCACUCGAGGAUUUCAUAGUGACUGGAAUUCGGGGAGAAAUCGGGUUUAACCCGAAGUGGUUGGAGGUCAGUUCGGGGGGGAAUAACCGGGCGGAAUCGGGUUUAACCCAAAAACGGCACUCCCUAACUAUAUACAGUUGAACCUCCAUAUAACGAACAUCGCUUAAAUUGUCUACUUAAAGGGGCAAUAAACAGGUAUACGAGGCGCACUUUUUUUAAAUACAUUGUGAUACGUUGCCGAAGGUGAACAUUCUAAAAAAAAUUUUGUUGCAGAAGAUUAAAUAAUGGCUCCAAACCGGCUGAAUAUUGACUGCACUCACGACACAAUUUUGACGCCACGCAUCAUCAUCCAUUUAGAAUGUGGGACGCUUAUACAUUAAUUUAGUUAUAAUAUCGAGAAGUGAGGUCAAUUCUAAACAUAUUCCCACUUGUCCAGUCCAAGGUAGCCAGUUCAAACUGUACCAAAACCCCUCAAUAUUCUAUUUCACGUGCACACUAUGUUUUCUUUGCUGUAUUGCUCCGCGAGGUAACUACGAUGUUCCCGCAACUGGUGCCCUCACGAACUGCUGGUUGUCUCAGUGGGGUCCGUCAUUGGCAAGGAGAGCGAAAUCUCCCCCAACGCCAGCGCCUAGAAUUCGGUGUUGCUAUAUGCUGGAAUAUACUGACGUGACCCAGUUCCAUGGAUAAGGAGAGGCUCGCGCGGAUUAUGCUCUUUGAAUGGCAUUGUUUCGCGUUAAAGAUGCUCGCUAGAAGCAGAAGAAUUUCAUAUUUGGACAUCGUGAGCUACGUUCUUUCAGGAAGUCGUAGCCAUCCGAGCCAAAAUGUACAGCAUUCUCUUGGCUGGGACACACAAACAGUUCGCGACAGCAAAAGGAGUUAAGAAAGACGUGGUGAGCAAACAUUUAUUGCACGAAAUGUACCGAGAUUCUCUGUUUGAUGAAAAGACAGUCUCUCAGAAGCAGUGCACCAUCCACAGUAUAAAGCAAACCAUGUACACCAUUUCGAGACUCAAGAAGAGCUUGGUCCCCUACGACGACAAGCGCUAUCUCGUGGAUGCCGUACACUCCUUCCUUUACGGAAGCUGCGAAUACGCAUCGGAAAACCCGGAAGAGAACCCGAGAGCGUCAACGUCAGGCAUCGACUGACCGUUGAACAAAGAGCAAGUCCUUCGUGCACGCGUAUAUAAUCGAGAAUAAAAGUUCUAGUCCA